UCCCCGCCUGCCCUGGGGGCCUUGGGCCCCGCAGAAGCACCUGAAUUCCCACGGCCCCUCCCCGGCCCUACGCGGGGGCCUGCUCCUGGACGCUGAGCAGCAAGCGGUUCAAACCCCGCGGGCGGGGCUCCUUGCAGGUCCCCGGAGGGAUGAGAACCGGGACCCCCGCGGGGAGUGCAAGGACGGGUUACAGAGGAGAACGCGUUAUCUGCUCUGGGAGGUGAUUUUCAGAACUGAGGGGGAAAAAAAAAGAAAAAGAAAAGAGAAAAAAACCGAAAAACAAACAAACAAACAAACAAACAAACAAAAAACAAGCCCAGGAGGAGCAGAAGUAAACAAAGGGUGGGAGAAAACUGAGCCAAAUGACUUUUUCUUGGUUAGUCUUAAAGUGUCGACCAAAUUCCUUCAGGGCAAAGCUGCAGAGAGUCCUGACGCCCCGCCCCUCCCCCACCUCCGUACCCUUCCUGAGAGGCCCCACAUGACACAGAACUUUACUCUGCUCUUGAGAAUGACAUCACAAGACCUGAAGAGGAGCUAAACGGGCUGACACCUGUAGCUGAAGAGUGCCUUAACGCUGAGUCCCACGGCUCCAUGCGAGAGAUGCCUGUUCCUCCUCUUUGGCAGCUUCACGUACCCUAAGAAUGUUUCCUGAGGUUUCAGAUCUAGUUCCCACAGAAGUUUCCUCUCAAGUACAAUGGUCCCUAAUUGUCUCCAAGGCACAUCCCAAGCAGAUGGACUGGAAGUGCUCUGGGAGGAGGUGAUAUCUCUGGGAGCUGCACAGCAGUCACCAUGUUAUCACCUCCAACACAUAGAGACCCUGCUCAAGGAUGACCCUUUGGAACCCUAUUCUCCACAAGAAAGAGACAGUGAAACUAGGCCUGAGACUGGUAAUUUGGCUCCAAAGCAGGAAGCAUCCAAAGGAAUGGAAUCACAGAAGACGCUGUUCAGUAGAAUCUGCAAAGGCAGGAACAUUUUUCAGGAUACUCAUUUUGGAGACCUUCAUGAAUGUAAGGACAGGUUUGAAAAGCAUCAAGGAAGUUUAAAGGAAGGAAAAGAACACACAUGUGAUCAGUGUGGGAAGUUUCACGCACAACAUCAGUCUUAUUGGACAUCAGAGAAUCUAUACAUGGGAAAAACCCUCUAUGUAUAAACAACGUGGGAGAGUCCUCAGUCAAAACAAAACCUCUUUUAAACACCUCAGAAUUCACACUGGUGAGAAACCUUAUCAGUGUAAUCAGUGUGGUAAGUUUUAGUCGAGGCUCAGUCCUUAUUAAACAUCAGAUAAAUCACACUAGGGAGGAGGCUUAUGAGCGCAGUGAAUGUGGUAAAACCUUCAGUAACAGCAUGGGAUUUACCCAGCAUCAGAGAUUCCAUACCUUAAUAAAAUAUUAUCAGUGCAAUGAGUGUAGGAAAGCUUUCAGGGAAAGUUCAAACCUCACUAAACAUCAGCGAAUUCAUACAGGAGAAAAAUCUUAUGAAUGUGAUGAAUAUGGAAAAGCCUUUGGUGGAAGUUCUGAUCUUACUGGACAUCAGAGAAUUCACACUGGGUAGAAACCCUUUGAAUGUGAUGAAUAUGGGAAGGCCCUCCAUCUGAGCUGACAUCUCACUGAACACCAGAGUCCACAACAGGAGUGACCUCACUUUCCCCAGUCACCCUGUGUACACUGAAGCUUCCAUGCCUUUUUCUUCCAU
Molecule: long non-coding RNA, 1692 nt
Organism: Cercocebus atys (sooty mangabey)
Lineage: Eukaryota; Metazoa; Chordata; Mammalia; Primates; Cercopithecidae
Exons: 3
Source: RefSeq, a predicted model, not a curated record